This 425-nucleotide ribosomal RNA is filed under the name uncultured bacterium. RNAcentral's name for it is "partial 16S ribosomal RNA". It matches the Rfam family "Bacterial small subunit ribosomal RNA", at positions 354 to 796 of the family's 1533-position model. The record is from RNAcentral.
GUUAGGAAUAUUGGACAAUGGGCGCAAGCCUGAUCCAGCCAUGCCGCGUGAACGAUGAAGGCCUUCGGGUUGUAAAGUUCUUUAGCCGAUGAUUAUAAUGACUGUAUUCGGAAAAUAAGCCCCGGCUAACUUCGUGCCAGCAGCCGCGGUAAUACGAAGGGGGCGAGCGUUAUUCGGAAUCACUGGGCGUAAAGCGUGCGUAGGCGGUCUCGUAAGUUAGGAGUGAAAGCCCAGGGCUCAACCUUGGAAUUGCUCUUAAUACUGCAAGGCUAGAAUCUCGGAGAGGAUAGCGGAAUUUCCAGUGUAGCAGUGAAAUGCGUAGAUAUUGGAAGGAACACCAGUGGCGUAAGCGGCUAUCUGGACGAGUAUUGACGCUGAGGCACGAAAGCGUGGGGAUCAAACAGGAUUAGAUACCCUUGUAGUCC